This 299-nucleotide unclassified non-coding RNA is filed under the name Hevea brasiliensis (rubber tree). Lineage: Eukaryota; Viridiplantae; Streptophyta; Magnoliopsida; Malpighiales; Euphorbiaceae. The record is from RNAcentral.
AAAAAAAAAAUUGAGAGAUGAUUCGCACAUUGUUAUAACAUAGUAAAACUUAAACCACCUCUUCUUCCAUUCAAACUUAGAGAAUAAUUUAAUUUCUGAAUACGAAAAUAAAAACUAAGAAGAUCAGUUGUUAAAUUUAAUAGCUGCAGUAUAGCACUACCAAACAUCUACCACUAAAUUGUCAAAUAAAUCUAAACAGUUCAUGUCAAAAUAUAAAAUAAUGGAUUUUCAAGAACAAAAAGAGAAACAGAAGGUAUUGACAGAUUGGGAAAAAGAAAAAUAACCAUCCAAAAUAUGCA